This 373-nucleotide unclassified non-coding RNA is filed under the name uncultured Gammaproteobacteria bacterium. RNAcentral describes it as "contains 16S-23S intergenic spacer region". Lineage: Bacteria; Pseudomonadati; Pseudomonadota; Gammaproteobacteria. The record is from RNAcentral.
UCCGGUUUGUCACCGGCAGUCUCAUUAGAGUGCCCUUUCGUAGCAACUAAUGGCAAGGGUUGCGCUCGUUGCGGGACUUAACCCAACAUCUCACGACACGAGCUGACGACAGCCAUGCAGCACCUGUGUCCAGGUUCCCUUUCGGGCACCGCUGCAUUUCUGCAGCGUUCCUGGCAUGUCAAGGGUAGGUAAGGUUCUUCGCGUUGCAUCGAAUUAAUCCACAUAAUCCACCGCUUGUGCGGGUCCCCGUCAAUUCCUUUGAGUUUUAAUCUUGCGGCCGUACUCCCCAGGCGGUCGACUUCACGCGUUAGCUUCGUUACUGAGGGACAGACUCCCCCAACAACUAGUCGACAUAGUUUAGGGCGUGGACUAC